UUUCAAGCGAAAUAUAGAUAAAAGCUAAUCUAAUAAUAGUUAUUUUUAAUUGUGAUUAAGCUUUGAAUAAUAAUAAUAAACAGGAAAUAAGAAAAUGCCUAGAGUAGCGGGGAAAAGAGAAAGUAGUGGCGAAAAAUCUUUCUUGGACUGGCACAAAAAAAAAUCUGUCUUGUAUAGCUGCCAUCAAAGAUGCCUUCAUGAAAAAGUAUCCAGCUGAAUCUGUAGAUGCCUGUGCCCAUAAAACUAAAAAAGUGUUUUUGUAUGCCAACGAUAGAUUAAACAAAAUAGAAAAAUACAAGUCGAAAGCUAAUUAAACCCAUUUAUUCAAAUAACCGAAUCCCUAUUUACUUUAAUUUUAA
This is a long non-coding RNA of Lucilia cuprina (Australian sheep blowfly), 359 nucleotides long. RefSeq lists it as uncharacterized. The record is from RefSeq and is a predicted model, not a curated record. The transcript has 3 exons. NCBI's taxonomy places the organism in Eukaryota, Metazoa, Arthropoda, Insecta, Diptera, Calliphoridae.